CAGGAUUUAAGACACUUUGAAAAUGGGCAAAGCCUCAUUUUUCCUAGGUCAAAAGGAGUUCAAGAUUGGGGAAAUCUGAGGAUUCAGAAGGAUGAUAAAUAUGUCACCAGCACUAACACCUGUCCUAGUUCCAGCUCUGGUGAACUCCAGCAGACCUGCUCAAGUGGACAGCAUUAGGAACCUUGUCAGUUUUGCAGUGCUUUUUGCCUGAAGCCACCUCAGAUCCCUCAUGCUGCAGUUCCUUUUGGCCGCAAUCUGAAUGCAGUCCUGUAUGGAAUAAAGGAAUAUCAUAAGUAUAUAUUUUUUAAAACAGCAACACGAUUCAUGACUCUGUUGCAGAAUGUGAAGGAGCAAGUCUCUCAAUUGGCUAAUUGAAUCAAGCUCUGCAAUUUCCUUCUUCCCUGGAGCCUGAUCCUGCAGGACAAGGAUCUAUUUUCAAGUCAAUUACAAUUCCUAAGGGAUAUAAUUACCUACAAAAUCAGCAAAGGAACCCUAUUUCUCUUAUGAAGGAGGGACGUGUGAAGUGAUAGCAGCACACCGAUGUUGUAACAAGAAUCGCAUUGAGGAGCGGUCACAAACAGUAAAGUGUUCCUGUCUACCUGGAAAAGUGGCUGGAACAACAAGAAACCGGCCUUCUUGCGUUGAUGG
This 648-nucleotide small RNA is filed under the name Pan troglodytes (chimpanzee). RNAcentral describes it as "processed transcript". The record is from RNAcentral. Lineage: Eukaryota; Metazoa; Chordata; Mammalia; Primates; Hominidae.